This is a non-coding RNA of Lentinula lateritia, 89 nucleotides long. The record is from the annotation of a GenBank genome assembly. Lineage: Eukaryota; Fungi; Basidiomycota; Agaricomycetes; Agaricales; Omphalotaceae.
GCCCGCCUAGCUCAAUCGGAUAGAGCGUCAGACUCUUACAUAGAGGCAGGGCAAUCUGAAGGCUGCGAGUUCGACCCUCGCGGUGGGCU